This 1355-nucleotide ribosomal RNA is filed under the name uncultured bacterium. Its description in RNAcentral is "bacterial SSU rRNA". It matches the Rfam family "Bacterial small subunit ribosomal RNA", at positions 28 to 1381 of the family's 1533-position model. The record is from RNAcentral.
AUUGAACGCUGGCGGCAGGCUUAACACAUGCAAGUCGAACGAUGAUUUCCCAGCUUGCUGGGAAUGAUUAGUGGCGGACGGGUGAGUAACAUUUAGGAAUCUGCCUAGUAGUGGGGGAUAGCUCGGGGAAACUCGAAUUAAUACCGCAUACGACCUACGGGUGAAAGGGGGCGCAAGCUCUUGCUAUUAGAUGAGCCUAAAUCAGAUUAGCUAGUUGGUGGGGUAAAGGCCCACCAAGGCGACGAUCUGUAACUGGUCUGAGAGGAUGAUCAGUCACACCGGAACUGAGACACGGUCCGGACUCCUACGGGAGGCAGCAGUGGGGAAUAUUGGACAAUGGGGGCAACCCUGAUCCAGCCAUGCCGCGUGUGUGAAGAAGGCCUUUUGGUUGUAAAGCACUUUAAGCAGGGAGGAGAGGCUAAUGGUUAAUACCCAUUAGAUUAGACGUUACCUGCAGAAUAAGCACCGGCUAACUCUGUGCCAGCAGCCGCGGUAAUACAGAGGGUGCGAGCGUUAAUCGGAAUUACUGGGCGUAAAGCGAGUGUAGGUGGCUCAUUAAGUCACAUGUGAAAUCCCCGGGCUUAACCUGGGAACUGCAUGUGAUACUGGUGGUGCUAGAAUAUGUGAGAGGGAAGUAGAAUUCCAGGUGUAGCGGUGAAAUGCGUAGAGAUCUGGAGGAAUACCGAUGGCGAAGGCAGCUUCCUGGCAUAAUAUUGACACUGAGAUUCGAAAGCGUGGGUAGCAAACAGGAUUAGAUACCCUGGUAGUCCACGCCGUAAACGAUGUCUACUAGCCGUUGGGGUCCUUGAGACUUUAGUGGCGCAGUUAACGCGAUAAGUAGACCGCCUGGGGAGUACGGCCGCAAGGUCAAAACUCAAAUGAAUUGACGGGGGCCCGCACAAGCGGUGGAGCAUGUGGUUUAAUUCGAUGCAACGCGAAGAACCUUACCUGGUCUUGACAUAGUGAGAAUCUCUCAGAGAUGAGAGAGUGCCUUCGGGAACUCACAUACAGGUGCUGCAUGGCUGUCGUCAGCUCGUGUCGUGAGAUGUUGGGUUAAGUCCCGCAACGAGCGCAACCCUUUUCCUUAUUUGCCAGCGGGUUAAGCCGGGAACUUUAAGGAUACUGCCAGUGACAAACUGGAGGAAGGCGGGGACGACGUCAAGUCAUCAUGGCCCUUACGACCAGGGCUACACACGUGCUACAAUGGUAGGUACAGAGGGUUGCUACACAGCGAUGUGAUGCUAAUCUCAAAAAGCCUAUCGUAGUCCGGAUUGGAGUCUGCAACUCGACUCCAUGAAGUCGGAAUCGCUAGUAAUCGCGGAUCAGAAUGCCGCGGUGAAUACGUUCCCGGGCCU